GGUGGCUCAGUGGUAGAGCACUUGCCUUGCAUGCAAGAAGCCCUGAGUUCGAUUCCUCAGCACCA
Molecule: transfer RNA, 65 nt
Filed under: Dipodomys ordii (Ord's kangaroo rat)
Lineage: Eukaryota; Metazoa; Chordata; Mammalia; Rodentia; Heteromyidae
Rfam family: tRNA
About the family: Transfer RNA (tRNA) molecules are approximately 80 nucleotides in length.
Source: Rfam by way of RNAcentral